RNAcentral lists this ribosomal RNA (549 nucleotides) under uncultured archaeon. RNAcentral describes it as "bacterial SSU rRNA". It matches the Rfam family "Archaeal small subunit ribosomal RNA", at positions 275 to 824 of the family's 1478-position model. The record is from RNAcentral.
UGUGAGAGCAAGAGCCCGGAGAUGGAUUCUGAGACACGAAUCCAGGCCCUACGGGGUGCAGCAGGCGCGAAAACUUUACAAUGCUGGCAACAGCGAUAAGGGAACCUCGAGUGCCAGGUUACAAAUCUGGCUGUCGAGAUGCCUAAAAAGCAUUUCAUAGCAAGGGCCGGGCAAGGCCGGUGCCAGCCGCCGCGGUAACACCGGCGGCUCGAGUGGUAACCGUUAUUAUUGGGUCUAAAGGGUCUGUAGCCGGCCGGAUAAGUCUCUUGAGAAAUCUGGCAGCUUAACUGUCAGGCUUUCAGGAGAUACUGUCUGGCUCGAGGCCGGGAGAGGUGAGAGGUACUUCAGGGGUAGGGGUGAAAUCUUGUAAUCCUUGAAGGACCACCAGUGGCGAAGGCGUCUCACCAGAACGGACCUGACGGCAAGGGACGAAAGCUAGGGGCACGAACCGGAUUAGAUACCCGGGUAGUCCUAGCCGUAAACGAUACUCGCUAGGUGUCGGCCACGGUGCGACCGUUGUCGGUGCCGUAGGGAAGCCGUGAAGCGAGC